Long non-coding RNA from Sinocyclocheilus rhinocerous, 489 nucleotides. RefSeq lists it as uncharacterized. The transcript is spliced from 4 exons. Lineage: Eukaryota; Metazoa; Chordata; Actinopteri; Cypriniformes; Cyprinidae. The record is from RefSeq and is a predicted model, not a curated record.
CGUUACCCCCGCCUUCUUCUCCAGAAGAACUCCGCAGCCCUAGCCCAAACUCUGCCAUUCUCCAUAGCCCGGAGUUACAAGCACACUGAGAAAAACCAGCACGAGCGUGAGAGGAAGAGAAAGAGAGAGAGCAAGUGACAAAGUAACUAAUAAAACCCGAAAAAAUAUAUAAAGUGAGGCUUCGCGCCUCGAGAGAGAAUACACGAAUACGUUCAAGUUUAGUUUAGAAAGUGUGGUGGAAAACUUUUCUGGGCUGUGGCAGAAAGCUGUGGACCGCGGAAGAUGCCAGAGCAAAGGUGUUGAACUUUCCAGAAUAUAAAAGAAGACGGGAGAGAGUUUGAGCAUUAGCCUUGGCAAUUCAGAAAGAACAAGGGCUGACACGGUCCACACUAGGGGACAGGUGAAGAAGUAACACAUUUAGAGAUGGCUGACGAGCAGGACACAAGGGAAGUGCUUUUCCCACAGUGGAUGGGCACUGAUACGCUAGAG